CACGUAAUUAGCCGGUCCUUAUUCGUAUGGUACUGUCAUUUUCUUCCCAUACAAAAGAUUUUUACAACCCGAAGGCCUUCUAAAUCACGCGGCGUCGCUGCAUCAGGGUUUCCCCCAUUGUGCAAAAUUCCCCACUGCUGCCUCCCGUAGGAGUCCGGGCCGUGUCUCAGUCCCAAUGUGGCCGUACACUCUCUCAAGCCGGCUACUGAUCGUUGCCUUGGUAGGCUUUUACCCUACCAACUAGCUAAUCAGACGCGAGUCCAUCUUAUACCGAUAAAUCUUUGAUCAAAUUAUCAUGCGAUUAUUUGAUGUCAUAGGGUAUUAUUCGUCGUUUCCAACGGCUAUCCCCUUGUACAAGGCAGGUUACUCACGCGUUACUCACCCGUCCGCCACUAAUCCAAUUAAAUUCAUUCCGAAGAAAUCUUUUAAUCUUCAUCGUUCGACUUGCAUGUGUUAUGCACGCCGCCAGCGUUUAUCCUGAGCCAGGAUCAAAACUCU
Molecule: ribosomal RNA, 498 nt
Filed under: uncultured Anaerococcus sp.
Lineage: Bacteria; Bacillati; Bacillota; Tissierellia; Tissierellales; Peptoniphilaceae
Description: partial 16S ribosomal RNA
Source: RNAcentral